CUUUGUCUUCAGUGGGGUUUGGAUCAAGCCCAAAGCUCAUAAGCAGUUUUCCACCAAGAGUUCCCGGCACUUAUGUCAGUCACUGGCAACAAGGGAAGGGAUAAAUCCAGCAUGGGCUGCUUCAGAUGCCAGGCACAUUCUGCGUGUGUGUGUGUCACAGGGGUGGAUAUAAACUCACACAGUCCGGCUGGGCUCCUGCUAAACUGCAUGACAGCUUGCAAAGGGCAGGCAGCUACAGGGCUGCUUCCAGGACCGACCUCAAAAGAUUUCAGUCUGAAAAGAGCUGGGAUGUUCUGUGCAGUGCCCAAGAAAACCUUUUUCAGGAGCAGCUGCCUGGGCACGGGGAAGGAGCUAGGAUUUCCUCAGCAUCCAACAAGGCAAGGCAGGGGGAAGGCCUGCUCAAGCACAGGAAGGACCCAGGUGCUGGUGUCAUCACCAAACCCUCCGUGAUGGGAGCCCAGCUUUGCCUCCAGCCCCGGCUCUGCACAGUGAGAUACCUCCCAGCAACUGAGCAGUGGCAAAUCAGCCUCAGUGCCACAAACAGGGCCUAGAACAAAUGGCUGGCUGUCCAUGAACUGCUUGGAGGAAAAGGCAGCAGCAGGAUUAUUAUGUGGAUUGGAUCCUGCCCUCAGGGCCAUGGCUGGCCCAGGCACAGCCAGAGAACAGAGCCAGCAUUGUCCAUCCUUCAGUCCACAACCACCGUGCAGAGCACUCACUGUCUGAACUAAUGGGUCUUCAUAGGAUCCUUCUGGUUGGGAGAUGAUAUCACAGAUCGUAUCUGUGUCCACUUUAGGUCUGGACUGUUGCUAAGAGAAAAACAAUUCUUGGCAAAUUCCUCGAAGUGCUUGCCUCCUACAGUUUGGAUGAAGAUGGUUUGUUCAGUAACGACGGGUAGGUGUGAGUUUCUGUCUCUUCGCCUUCUGAGAAUUGUCCUCGCCAGAGCAAAACUGAAGAUGAUAAUGCUCCCAUUAAAAAUGAGGUGAAUGCUCAGGCUAACAUGAGUGGGUGGAAAGGACUUCAAACCAGAUGAAUCGGGGACAGACCUACCCUUGCCAAGACAAACAGCUGCAGAGAGCUGCAGGAAAGAAAAAAGGGCACCGCUGUUCAAAAUGAUUCAGUCACAUGGGGCUGACUGAGGCUGCCUAUCCAUCAAUUUAUAACCAAAACCAAUGGCUUUCAUAUGAAGAAAGAAAGGUGCAUCAUAUGUCCCACAGGAGGACUGCAGAACUGAUAUCAUUAGGACAACAGACUGAUAUUCCAUAGGACAACAGAGAUAUGGGAUGAGCGCAAAGCAGAACGCUCUCACUCUCCUUCCUACAUCUGUCUUCCAUUUGCUUUGCCUCUAUCUGCCUGUUGUUGAUGUUUUCUCACAUUAUCUUGGUCCCCAUGUUCAAGCUGUAUUUCAUCCAGGAGGGCAGGGAGCUCCAGGUGUGAAUGAGGGCUGUGAGCAUGAACUCACUGUCACAGCUAUUGUUGUUAUCAUUCCUCUGAAAACCAGCCUGGUGGAGGUUUAGCUUUGUGGAAUUUGUUCUGCUGUUUUAACUGUAUCCUUGUUAGAUGUGGAAAAUUGAAUGAAAGUGGAAUGAAAAUGUGGAAAGGGGAAUGAAGUGAAGUGCUUUGCACGAUGGCUUGCACCCAAAGGUGCAGCCUUAGCGAGUGAAAUGCUGGCAUGCUGUGGAAUGAGAUUUUGAGGUUGCAAGAUUGGGGUCUGCUGCUCAAAUGAAUCAGGCAUUCAGGACUCGCUGCUCUUCUCUGUAAUGGGAGAAACUGUAUGUUAAAAAAGCCAAUACAGAAUUUUCAAUGCUCUA
Taeniopygia guttata (zebra finch) is the source of this 1808-nucleotide long non-coding RNA. RefSeq lists it as uncharacterized. NCBI's taxonomy places the organism in Eukaryota, Metazoa, Chordata, Aves, Passeriformes, Estrildidae. The record is from RefSeq and is a predicted model, not a curated record.